RNAcentral lists this ribosomal RNA (882 nucleotides) under uncultured bacterium. Its description in RNAcentral is "bacterial SSU rRNA". It matches the Rfam family "Bacterial small subunit ribosomal RNA", at positions 8 to 916 of the family's 1533-position model. The record is from RNAcentral.
AGAGUUUGAUCCUGGCUCAGGACGAACGCUGGCGGCGUGCCUAAUGCAUGCAAGUCGCACGCGCGGAGCUUGCUCCGUGAGUGGCGCACGGCUGAGGACCACGUGGGAACAUGCCUCUGAGUGGGGGACAACAGCGCGAAAGCGCUGCUAAUCCCGCAUACGGUCGGUGUAUGCCGAAGAAAGCUGGCAACAGCGCUCGGAGAGUGGCCCGCGGCCCAUCAGGUCGUCGGUGGGGUAAUGGCCUACCGAGCCAAUGACGGGUAGCUGGUCUGUGAGGACAGACAGCCAGACUGGGACUGAGACACGGCCCAGACUCCUACGGGAGGCAGCAGCAAGGAAUUUUCGUCAAUGGGGGCAACCCUGAACGAGCAACGCCGCGUGGAGGAUGACGGCCUUCGGGUUGUAAACUCCUUUUUCGGGGGACGAUUGUGACGGUACCCCGGGAAUAAGGCUCGGCUAACUCUGUGCCAGCAGCCGCGGUAAGACAGAGGAGCCAAGCGUUGUCCGGAUUGACUGGGCGUAAAGCGCACGCAGGCGGUCGCGCGCGUGGGGUGUGAAAUCUGGCCGCUUAACGGCCAGGCGCCAUCCCAUACGGCGCGACUGGAGCCAUGCAGAGGGCGGUGGAAUUGCCGGUGUAGUGGUGAAAUGCGUAGAGAUCGGCAGGAACACCCAGGGGGAAACCAGCCGCCUGGGCAUGCGCUGACGCUGAGGUGCGAGAGCGUGGGGAGCGAACCGGAUUAGAUACCCGGGUAGUCCACGCCGUAAACGAUGGCCACUCGGCCUUUGGCAGCGGAACCUCCGUUGCUGGGGGCCUUAGCUAACGCGGGAAGUGGCCCGCCUGGGAACUACGAGCGCAAGCCUAAAACUCAAAGGAAUUGACGG